CCCCUCACUUCCUGCUGUUGAAGCCUGAACAUGGUUUAGAAUGGAAAUGUUGGAAAUUUAGAGCACAGCUUUUAAGUAAGACAGACGUGGACUCAAUCCUGGUGUAUGGUCAGUGCCCUGUAUAUUGCAUCUAUUAUUAUUUUUACUCCCAGUUCAGCUUUUGUACUUCAAUCACAUUGAUCCUUAAUCUUCCUUUGAAUGUUUCUGUGUAGAAGAGCCUUUAAGUGAUUAGUUUUGGAUUCUUAGCUUUUAUAUCCUGCAUUUUGAAUUCUGUCCUUGUAGCCAACCUGACCAUGCUAAUUGCAGCACUCUCAACACAGAGGAUGUUUCUUGGAUACAGGGUCUAUUCCAAAGCAUUCAAGGAGGAUUGACAGGUCAUUCUGGGAUGGGAUCCACUCUACAAAUUCAAUUUUUUUUUUUCUCAGUAUGUUCUAGAAUCUGUCAAAUGAGGGUCUUUAAACCUUCAUUUCAAUAGUAGGGUUUUAUGCAACACUUCUUAUAUUCCCAUAUAUCCCCCAGUCUGGCUAGGAAAUCUUAUAAGAAGGGGUCAGGUGUCUGCUUUUGAAAAUUACAUUAUAUAUUAGCACUUAUCUUCUUCUCAUAGGUUGUUUGGAGCUUUGCCACCAUGUAGCUGAACACUCUUAGAAUUUUUGUCAGCCUUUGUGUUGUUUCAUUUUGGCAUCCUCUCUGGCCUCAGAAGUUUCCUUUGUUUCUCAUUCCACUGCAUUUUCUCUUGGUGGAUACCCUUCUUUUCUGGCUGUAUCUCAAGUCAUGCUUCCUUUGGAAUGAGAUGUCAUUGUAAACCCAAUAAUUUUAAAGAUGAUGAUAAUAGAGAUUAGAUUUACUCGCCUCUAAUACAGUCACCAUGUAUUAGACAUUACUGUGACCGCUUUAUAUAUAUGAACACACUGAAUGCUCACAACUUCUCUAUAAAUACAUACAAUUAUUGUCUUCUUUUUAUAGGUGUGGAAACUGCUAUAAAAGAGUCUUAGGACCUUGGACAGCUGUACCAAGUAGACAGGAGCUAGCUUGGCUGCAGGUCUUCAUGGACAUUCAGGAGCUGACUCUGGAGAAUUCCCUCUUUUGGGUGUCAUUAUCAAUAGUGGACCCUCCCGAGAAAGGUGAUCAUUUAAAAGUCUACAAAUAACAGACGCUGGACAGGGUGUAGAGAAAAGGGAAACCCUCUACACUGUUGUUGGGAAUGUAAAUUGGUACAGCCAAUAUGGAGAACAAUACGGAGAUUCCUUGAAAAACGAAAAAUGGAACUACUAUAUGAUUCAGCAAUCUCACCCCUGAGCAUGUAUUUGGAGAAAACUAUAAUUUGAAAAGAUAGCUGCACCCCAGUGUUCAUAGCAAUACUAUUUACAAUAGCCAAGACAUGGAAGCAACCUGAUUGUGCAUCAAGGGAGGAGUGGAUAAAGAAGAUGUAGUGUACGUAUAUGAUGGAAUAUUACUCAACCAUGGAAAAGAAUAAAAUAAUGCCAAUUGCAGUGACAUGGAUGGACCUAGAGGUUGUCAUACUGAGUGAACUGGGUCAGACAGAGACAAAUGCCACAUGAUAUCACUUAUAUGUGGGAUCUAAAAUAUGACACAAAUGAACUUAUCUGUGAAACAGACAUAAAGAACAGACUUGUGGUCCCAAGAGGAAGGGGAUAGGGGAAGGAUGGAUUGGGAGUUUGAGAUAAGCAGAUGCAAACUAGUAUAUACAGAAUAGAUAGACAACAAGGUACUACUGUAUAGCACAGGGACCUAUGUUCAAUAUCCUGUGAUAGCCUAUAAUGGAAGAGAAUAUGAGAAUGUAUGUAUGUAUAACUGAGUCACUUUGCUGUACAGCAGAAAUUAACACAAUGUUUAAAUUAACUAUACUUCAAUAAAAUAUUUUUGAAAAAAUAGUGUAUCCUCUCAUUUUCAGAAGUUUCAUGGUGUGGAAGGUAAAUCAUGGUUACCUUGCUGAAGGCCGCUCUCUAGACAGGACAGCAUGACAUUGUGGCUGAUGUCACAAUGUGACUCCCUGAGUUAGAAAUCAAGCUCUGCCACUCAGUGGUCACAGAACCCUG
RNAcentral lists this long non-coding RNA (2057 nucleotides) under Capra hircus (goat). RNAcentral describes it as "lncRNA (ENSCHIG00000006802.1)". The record is from RNAcentral. Lineage: Eukaryota; Metazoa; Chordata; Mammalia; Artiodactyla; Bovidae.